This 501-nucleotide ribosomal RNA is filed under the name uncultured bacterium. Its description in RNAcentral is "bacterial SSU rRNA". It matches the Rfam family "Bacterial small subunit ribosomal RNA", at positions 835 to 1340 of the family's 1533-position model. The record is from RNAcentral.
AUACUUAAGCGGCCAAGAGAAAUCGUUAAGCAUCCCACCUGGGGAGUAAUCCGGCAACGGUGAAACUCAAAGGAAUUGAAGGGGGCCCGCACAAGAGGAGAAACAUGUGGUUUAAUUCGAUGAUACGCGAGGAACCUUACCCGGGCUUGAACUGCAGAGGAAGGAUCUGGAGACAGUGACGCCCUUCGGGGCCUCUGUGGAGGUGCUGCAUGGUUGUCGUCAGCUCGUGCCAUGAGGUGUCGGCUUAAAGUGCCAUAACGAGCGCAACCCCUUUCAUUAGUUGCCAUCACUUCGGGUGGGCACUCUGGUGAUACUGCCACCGUAAGGUGUGAGGAAGGUGGGGAUGACGUCAAAUCAGCACGGCCCUUACGUCCGGGGCUACACACGUGUUACAAUGGGUGAUACAGAGCUCUUGUACAUGGCAAUGUGCAUCAAAUCUUGAAAGUCAUCCCUUCCCCUUUUGGGUCUGCAUCCCGACCCCAAAAAGCGGAUUCGCUAGAA